This 440-nucleotide ribosomal RNA is filed under the name uncultured bacterium. RNAcentral describes it as "partial 16S ribosomal RNA". It matches the Rfam family "Bacterial small subunit ribosomal RNA", at positions 338 to 795 of the family's 1533-position model. The record is from RNAcentral.
ACUACGGGUGGCAGCAGUGGGGAAUAUUGCACAAUGGGGGAAACCCUGAUGCAGCGACGCCGCGUGAGUGAAGAAGUAUUUCGGUAUGUAAAGCUCUAUCAGCAGGGAAGAAAAUGACGGUACCUGAGUAAGAAGCCCCGGCUAACUACGUGCCAGCCGCCGCGGUAAGACGUAUGGGGCAAGCGUGGUCCGGAUUUACUGGGUGUAAAGGGAGCGUAGACGGCAGCACAAGGGUGGAGGGAAAUGCCGGGGCUUAACCCCGGAACUGCUUUGGAAACUGUGCAGCUGGGGUGCAGGAGAGGUAAGUGGAAUUCCUAGUGUAGCGGUGAAAUGCGUAGAUAUUAGGAGGAACACCAGUGGCGAAGGCGGCUUACUGGACUGUAACUGACGUUGAGGCUCGAACGCGUGGGGAGCAAACAGGAUUAGAUACCCGAGUAGUC